This 664-nucleotide ribosomal RNA is filed under the name Staphylococcus sp. SK 95. Its description in RNAcentral is "bacterial SSU rRNA". It matches the Rfam family "Bacterial small subunit ribosomal RNA", at positions 8 to 653 of the family's 1533-position model. The record is from RNAcentral. Lineage: Bacteria; Bacillati; Bacillota; Bacilli; Caryophanales; Staphylococcaceae.
AGAGUUUGAUCCCUGGCUCAGGAUGAACGCUGGCGGCGUGCCUAAUACAUGCAAGUCGAGCGAACAGACGAGGAGCUUGCUCCUCUGACGUUAGCGGCGGACGGGUGAGUAACACGUGGAUAACCUACCUAUAAGACUGGGAUAACUUCGGGGAAACCGGAGCUAAUACCGGAUAAUAUAUUGAACCGCAUGGUUCAAUAGUGAAAGACGGUUUGGCUGUCACUUAUAGAUGGAUCCGCGCCGCAUUAGCUAGUUGGUAAGGUAACGGCUUACCAAGGCAACGAUGCGUAGCCGACCUGAGAGGGUGAUCGCCCACACUGGAACUGAGACACGGUCCAGACUCCUACGGGAGGCAGCAGUAGGGAAUCUUCCGCAAUGGGCGAAAGCCUGACGGAGCAACACCGCGUGAGUGAUGAAGGUCUUCGGAUCGUAAAACUCUGUUAUUAGGGAAGAACAAAUGUGUAAGUAACUAUGCACGUCUUGACGGUACCUAAUCAGAAAGCCACGGCUAACUACGUGCCAGCAGCCGCGGUAAUACGUAGGUGGCAAGCGUUAUCCGGAAUUAUUGGGCGUAAAGCGCGCGUAGGCGGUUUUUUAAGUCUGAUGUGAAAGCCCACGGCUCAACCGUGGAGGGUCAUGGAAACUGGAAAACUGAGUCAGAAGA